AGUGGUUCUCGGGUGAUGCACCCCAGAACCAGAGAGGAGGGAGCCUGAUUCUGGGGUGGGUCACCCAAGAACCACC
Myotis lucifugus (little brown bat) is the source of this 76-nucleotide non-coding RNA. The record is from Rfam. NCBI's taxonomy places the organism in Eukaryota, Metazoa, Chordata, Mammalia, Chiroptera, Vespertilionidae.